GUGCGUUCCCAUUGUCAAGUGGCCUAUUCUACAAACAUCAUUCAGGUCAUGUUGGGCGACACUGUCUUUUCUGUGAUCUUUUCCUCUUCAUUCCUGAGAAAGGAGUGUUGAGAUCACCGGUUAUACUUGUGGAUUUGUCUGUCUCAUGCAUUAUCUCAGUUUCAUCUUCACGUAUUCUGAAACUCUCUCUUAUCAGGCACACACAUUUUUAGGAUUGCUAAGUCUUGAGGAAUUGACCCUUUUAUCACUGUGAACCGUCCCUCAUUGUCUGUUAGUCUUCCGUGUCUGAAGUCUCCUUUGAUAGUAACAUAGCCUUUCUAGCUUUCUUGUGGGCAGUGGUUGCAUGGCAUAUCUUUCACCCUUUUCACACCGUUAGCCUGUUGUACAUGUAAGGUGGGUUCCUUGUAGAUGGCAUGUAGUUGGAUCUUGGAUUUUCAUCCAGUCCAGCCAUCUCUGCUUUUUAAUGGUGUUUGUCCAUUUAACAUCUAACGUGCUUAAUGACACGGUUGAGAUUGGUCUGCCAUCUUGUUCCUCCUUAUUCCCAAUUUGUCUCUCUCUUCUUUGUUCCUUGUCCUCUUUGCAUGUCUUCUUCUGGGUUGACUGUGUUUGAAUUACUCCGUUUUGUCCCCAGGUAGAGGGGGGUGUGGCACACAUCCCCUCUGUCCACUUCCCACUGGACACGCGGCCACACCUCACAUCAGAGAGGCAGUGGGCUUCAAUGAGGCUGCUCACUUUUACCGUAUUUUGUAGAGCAGUGUUCAUAUAAGAUUUAUUUUUAUGAUAACAACAACAAUAACAACAAAAGUUUAAAAACCACGAACUAAGACAACAGCUUAACUGAUGGAUGUGGCAAUGAAGACUUAGUGAGGAUGGGUGAGUUCGUGUUUCCAUAAGCUCCAAGCCUGGCACAAAGGCCCGGCCAUUCCCGCCUGUAGGACUUCACUCGUUCACGGGGCCGAGCUGGUCAGCUGUGCAUGAUGCAGCGACCCCCUGGCCUAGCUCUGCAGCCUGGCUGGGCUGGGACACUCCAGCGACUUUCUUCCUCCUGCCACACAGAUAACAGCGGCACGUGCCCCAGGCUCUCCGAGGACCAGCGAGGGCAGGCAUGGGCGGAACGUGGAGCAGGCAACACCAGGCAACGGUCGCAGAUGGGGACACUGAGGCCUCAAGGGAUAACCUUGGAGCGCACAAAGCUGACGUCCUGUGGCUGCGCUGGAGCCACAGGCCUGGCAGCUGGCAGGAGGGUCCAGGCAGAGCGUGGGACCCCUGCCCAUCUUCCUUCCCUCUGCUGGGGGACCGAGGUUCUGUGGCCGGAUAACAGCCCGCCCCGAGGGCUCGCUCAGCCCUGGUCCUCUACGCAAGCUCUCUGGUUGUCUCCCGGUCAGCACACCCCGUGGAUGGAGAAACUGAAGAUGUCAUCAAGUUAAGCUGAGGUCAGCAGGACAGGCCCCAAAUCCGAUAGGACUGGAGUCCUUGUAAGGAGAGGGAGUUCUGGAUAUACGGAGAGGGGAGAAGGACGCGUGAGGACUGUGAAGGUGGAGGCAGAGAGUGGCUGCCACAAGCCAAGGAGCGCCUGGGGCCUCCAGAAGCUGCAGAGCUGGGAGAGGCAGGAAGGACCCUCCCCUGGAGCCUCUGGAGGGAGUGCGGCCCUGCGACACCUUGAGCUUGGAUGUCCAGCCUCCAGAAU
Molecule: long non-coding RNA, 1687 nt
Organism: Equus caballus (horse)
Lineage: Eukaryota; Metazoa; Chordata; Mammalia; Perissodactyla; Equidae
Source: Ensembl